This 401-nucleotide ribosomal RNA is filed under the name uncultured bacterium. RNAcentral describes it as "bacterial SSU rRNA". It matches the Rfam family "Bacterial small subunit ribosomal RNA", at positions 356 to 774 of the family's 1533-position model. The record is from RNAcentral.
UUGGAAUAUUGGACAAUGGGCGCAAGCCUGAUCCAGCCAUGCCGCGUGAGUGAUGAAGGCCUUCGGGUUGUAAAGCUCUUUAGUCCACGAAUAUAAUGACUGUAGUGGAAGAAUAAGCCCCGGCUAACUUCGUGCCAGCAGCCGCGGUAAUACGAAGGGGGCGAGCGUUACUCGGAAUUACUGGGCGUAAAGCGUGCGGAGGUGGUUGUUUAAGUCUGAUGUGAAAGCCCUGGGCUCAACCUGGGAAUGGCAUUGGAAACUGGGCAGCUAGAGUGCGGUAGAGGGUAGUGGAAUUCCCGGUGUAGCAGUGAAAUGCGUAGAGAUCGGGAGGAACAUCUGUGGCGAAGGCGACUGCCUGGACCAGCACUGACACUGAGGCACGAAAGCGUGGGGAGCAAACA